RNAcentral lists this long non-coding RNA (545 nucleotides) under Pan troglodytes (chimpanzee). Its description in RNAcentral is "long non-coding RNA NONPTRT009320". The record is from RNAcentral. Lineage: Eukaryota; Metazoa; Chordata; Mammalia; Primates; Hominidae.
GCAGCAGCGGCGGGCGCAGGGUCGCGGCUCCCUAGGAGAUGCUGCAGCGGCGGCAGCACCAGCCACCUCCUCCGGGAGCCAAUCGCGAAUGCAGGGGUGGGGGCCGAAGCUCGAUGCGUCCGCACUUGGUGGGGGCAGAGAGAGAAAGAAGACACCAGGCACCCCCUCUCCACACCCCUGCCCUUCCCCCAGCCCUCCUGCAGCAGCGCAGACUUAGCAGGAGGAAGAUCUUGAGAGAGAGAGAGAGAGAGAGAGAGAGAGAGAGAGAGAGAGAGAGAGAGAGAGAGGGAGAGAGAGAAGGCGCUGGUGCAGAGUUAGGGAGAGGCGGCCGAGCUGCACACCUUGAGCCCCGGCCUCCUCCGAAGGGAGCCCCUGCACCCCAGCGGGGUCAGCACAAGAAUUGGGGCCAGGAUCAGGUGGUGACAGAGCCACCUGGGUUUCCGGAGACUCUCAAGCCAACCCCAAGUCAUGACAAAUGCCAGUCGCCUUGGACAGAGGCAAGGCCAACCUGCUUGCCGCCCCCAGCCAGGCCCUGCCACCAAGGG